Paraglaciecola sp. is the source of this 146-nucleotide regulatory RNA element. NCBI's taxonomy places the organism in Bacteria, Pseudomonadati, Pseudomonadota, Gammaproteobacteria, Alteromonadales, Alteromonadaceae. The record is from Rfam.
CUCGACUCCAACUUACCCGAUUUAAGGCACAACUUGUCAAAUGACCAGACAGGAUGUCUGGGCAAGGCGUGGUGAGCGCAGGGAUGCGCUCUCCACGCCGGUUUGAAUAGCAAGUUGGGGCUUAAAUUGGAAUAGUAAGUUGGUUG